Molecule: ribosomal RNA, 500 nt
Filed under: uncultured bacterium
Lineage: Bacteria
Description: partial 16S ribosomal RNA
Rfam family: Bacterial small subunit ribosomal RNA
Source: RNAcentral
AUUGAACGCUGGCGGCAUGCCUUACACAUGCAAGUCGAACGGCAGCACGGGAGCAAUCCUGGUGGCGAGUGGCGAACGGGUGAGUAAAGUAUCGGAACGUGCCCAGUCGUGGGGGAUAACGUAGCGAAAGUUACGCUAAUACCGCAUACGAUCUAUGGAUGAAAGCGGGGGAUCGCAAGACCUCGCGCGAUUGGAGCGGCCGAGAGCAGAUUAGGUAGUGGGUGGGGUAAAGGCUCACCAAGCCGACGAUCCGUAGCUGGUCUGAGAGGACGACCAGCCACACUGGGACUGAGACACGGCCCAGACUCCUACGGGAGGCAGCAGUGGGGAAUUUUGGACAAUGGGCGAAAGCCUGAUCCAGCCAUGCCGCGUGCAGGAUGAAGGCCUUCGGGUUGUAAACUGCUUUUGUACGGAACGAAAAGGUUUGGCCUAAUAAGCUGAGCUCAUGACGGUACCGUAAGAAUAAGCACCGGCUAACUACGUGCCAGCCGCCGCCGUAA